Molecule: ribosomal RNA, 301 nt
Filed under: uncultured bacterium
Lineage: Bacteria
Description: partial 16S ribosomal RNA
Rfam family: Bacterial small subunit ribosomal RNA
Source: RNAcentral
CAGUAGCCGCGGGAAUACGAGGGGGGCAAGCGUUGUUCGGAAUUAUUGGGCGUAAAGGGCGCGUAGGCGGUUUGGCAAGUUUGGUGUGAAAUCUUCGGGCUCAACUCGAAGUCUGCAUCGAAAACUGCCGGGCUUGAGUAUGGGAGAGGUGAGUGGAAUUUCCGGUGUAGCGGUGAAAUGCGUAGAUAUCGGAAGGAACACCUGUGGCGAAAGCGGCUCACUGGACCAUAACUGACGCUGAGGCGCGAAAGCUAGGGGAGCAAACAGGAUUAGAUACCCCCGUAGUCCCUGUCUCUUAUAC